Molecule: unclassified non-coding RNA, 160 nt
Filed under: uncultured Ascomycota
Lineage: Eukaryota; Fungi; Ascomycota
Description: sequence contains ITS1
Source: RNAcentral
CAGAGUUGCAAAACUCCCAGACCACUGUGAACCUACCCUCAACCGUUGCUUCGGCGGGCCGGCCCAGGCCGCGCCGGCCCCCAACCGGGGGCGCCCGCCGGAGGCACCCAGACCACUGAUUUUUGCAUGGCCUCUCUGAGUAACUGUACCGAAUAAGUCA